RNAcentral lists this ribosomal RNA (53 nucleotides) under Thalassionema nitzschioides. RNAcentral's name for it is "partial Eukaryotic large subunit ribosomal RNA". The record is from RNAcentral. Lineage: Eukaryota; Bacillariophyta; Fragilariophyceae; Thalassionematales; Thalassionemataceae.
UUUGCCAUCAUCAGUAGUGAAGAUUGUGUCAAUCCCUUUUUUCUAUGAUUUUC